UACGUAGGGUGCAAGCGUUGUCCGGAAUUAUUGGGCGUAAAGGGCUCGUAGGCGGUCCAUCGCGUCGGGAGUGAAAAGCUGGGGCUUAACCCCAGUCCUGCUUUCGAUACGGGCAGGCUAGAGUGUGGUAGGGGAGAUCGGAAUUCCUGGUGUAGCGGUGAAAUUCGUAGAGAUUGGGUGGAACACCAGUGGCGAAGGCGCCUAUCUGGCUGACAACUGACGCUGAGACUCGAAAGCAUGGGGAGCAAACAGG
This 253-nucleotide ribosomal RNA is filed under the name uncultured bacterium. RNAcentral's name for it is "partial 16S ribosomal RNA". It matches the Rfam family "Bacterial small subunit ribosomal RNA", at positions 524 to 776 of the family's 1533-position model. The record is from RNAcentral.